AGCGAACGCUGGCGGCAGGCCUAACACAUGCAAGUCGAACGAACCUUUCGGGGUUAGUGGCGGACGGGUGAGUAACACGUGGGAACGUGCCUUUAGGUUCGGAAUAACUCAGGGAAACUUGUGCUAAUACCGAAUGUGCCCUUCGGGGGAAAGAUUUAUCGCCUUUAGAGCGGCCCGCGUCUGAUUAGCUAGUUGGUUGAGGUAAUGGCUCACCAAGGCGACGAUCAGUAGCUGGUCUGAGAGGAUGAUCAGCCACAUUGGGACUGAGACGCGGCCCAAACUCCUACGGGAGGCAGCAGUGGGGAAUCUUGCGCAAUGGGCGAAAGCCUGACGCAGCCAUGCCGCGUGAAUGAUGAAGGUCUUAGGAUUGUAAAAUUCUUUCACCGGGGACGAUAAUGACGGUACCCGGAGAAGAAGCCCCGGCUAACUUCGUG
RNAcentral lists this ribosomal RNA (434 nucleotides) under uncultured bacterium. RNAcentral's name for it is "partial 16S ribosomal RNA". It matches the Rfam family "Bacterial small subunit ribosomal RNA", at positions 29 to 507 of the family's 1533-position model. The record is from RNAcentral.